RNAcentral lists this ribosomal RNA (250 nucleotides) under uncultured bacterium. RNAcentral describes it as "partial 16S ribosomal RNA". It matches the Rfam family "Bacterial small subunit ribosomal RNA", at positions 525 to 775 of the family's 1533-position model. The record is from RNAcentral.
ACGUAGGGGGCGAGCGUUAUCCGGAUUCAUUGGGCGUAAAGCGCGCGUAGGCGGCCGCGCAGGCGGGGGGUCAAAUCCCGGGGCUCAACCCCGGGCCGCCCCCCGAACCGCGCGGCUUGGGUCCGGCAGGGGAGGGUGGAACGCCCGGUGUAGCGGUGGAAUGCGCAGAUAUCGGGCGGAACACCGGUGGCGAAGGCGGCCCUCUGGGCCGGCACCGACGCUGAGGCGCGAGAGCCGGGGGAGCGAACAG